Molecule: long non-coding RNA, 406 nt
Filed under: Helianthus annuus (common sunflower)
Lineage: Eukaryota; Viridiplantae; Streptophyta; Magnoliopsida; Asterales; Asteraceae
Description: sRNA HanXRQr2_Chr14g0626571
Source: RNAcentral
ACAAGUCUAUUUUAUGGUGAUCUAAAAGAGUUGCAAGCAUGGAUGCUCACUAGAAGCCUAUUUUCUACACUUGGAGCUUCACAUCUUCUUGUUCUUCAUCAUCUUUUUUUCAUCCAGAUCUUCCCUAGCCUAAGUGCUAUUAGAAACUAAAGGAUCUGGCAGGUGUCUGCACAUGUCAAGCUGCGUUGAAUAAAGAUGUCGUCCAGGGUAGUUGGUUUAGGACGUGUAACCCUUACCUGGACGGGUUACAUAUCCUUAAAACACAUCUUAUUUUAAGUCUUUUGUGGUGUCUUAUGAACACGUCUUAAACAAGUAUGGUUUGUAAUUUGUCUUAAGUGUCAACAAUUUUCAAAACAAUGAUGUUGUGGUAUUGUUUAACUUAAUGAAUGGAUGAACAUCUUGUGUU